This 338-nucleotide long non-coding RNA is filed under the name Vigna radiata. RNAcentral describes it as "long non-coding RNA (VRAD_LNC010143)". Lineage: Eukaryota; Viridiplantae; Streptophyta; Magnoliopsida; Fabales; Fabaceae. The record is from RNAcentral.
GUGGCUUGGCUGGGUUGCAGGAAGCAACCAUUCCACAAGCAUGCCAUAUCCCCUUUUGGGUGGGAAUACUAUCUACGAAACGACGCUUUGAACAGGUUUAGCAUGGGAGCAUGAAAGAUGAGGGAAGAGUGGCAGAGUGAUGGCAGUCGCCUUUGCAAAAAGAGCAAAAAAAAAAAGAAAAAAAAAUGCAUCUUCAAGUUAUGAGAGGUUAGCCUAAGUAUUAAAAGAGAACACUACUCUCAACUUCACCAUUGGACUCUCUACUCAACACAAUCCACUUCCUCCAUUCACAUACACAAAAAUAAAAAAACCCAUCACAGACCUUGACCAGGAUUCAC